ACACGUAAACAACCUGCCUUCAGGAUGGGGACAACAGACGGAAACGACUGCUAAUACCGAAUACGCUUGGAAGACCGCAUGAUCUUCCAAGGAAAGGGUGGCCUCUACCUGUAAGCUAUCGCCUGAAGAGGGGUUUGCGUCUGAUUAGGCAGUUGGUGAGGUAACGGCCCACCAAACCUACGAUCAGUAGCCGGUCUGAGAGGAUGAACGGCCACACUGGAACUGAGACACGGUCCAGACUCCUACGGGAGGCAGCAGUGGGGAAUCUUCCGCAAUGGGCGAAAGUCUGACGGAGCAACGCCGCGUGAGUGAUGACGGCCUUCGGGUUGUAAAGCUCUGUGAUCGGGGACGAACGGUCCGUAAGCCAAUACCUUAUGGAAGUGACGGUACCCGAAUAGCAAGCCACGGCUAACUACGUGCCAGCAGCCGCGGUAAUACGUAGGUGGCAAGCGUUGUCCGGAAUUAUUGGGCGUAAAGCGCGCGCAGGCGGCUUUCUAAGUCCAUCUUAAAAGUGCGGGGCUUAACCCCGUGAUGGGAUGGAAACUGGAAAGCUGGAGUAUCGGAGAGGAAAGUGGAAUUCCUAGUGUAGCGGUGAAAUGCGUAGAGAUUAGGAAGAACACCGGU
This 624-nucleotide ribosomal RNA is filed under the name uncultured bacterium. RNAcentral describes it as "bacterial SSU rRNA". It matches the Rfam family "Bacterial small subunit ribosomal RNA", at positions 113 to 713 of the family's 1533-position model. The record is from RNAcentral.